RNAcentral lists this ribosomal RNA (486 nucleotides) under uncultured Methanosaeta sp. Its description in RNAcentral is "bacterial SSU rRNA". It matches the Rfam family "Archaeal small subunit ribosomal RNA", at positions 852 to 1338 of the family's 1478-position model. The record is from RNAcentral. Lineage: Archaea; Methanobacteriati; Methanobacteriota; Methanomicrobia; Methanotrichales; Methanotrichaceae.
AAACUCAAAGGAAUUGACGGGGAGCACCACAACGGGUGGAGCUUGCGGUUUAAUUGGAUUCAACGCCGGAAAUCUUACCGGGACCGACAGCAAUAUGAAGGCCAGGCUGAAGACUUUGCCGGAUUAGCUGAGAGGUGGUGCAUGGCCGUCGUCAGUUCGUACUGUGAAGCAUCCUGUUAAGUCAGGCAACGAGCGAGACCCACGCCCACAGUUGCCAGCGUACUCUCUGGAGUGACGGGUACACUGUGGGGACCGCCGCUGCUAAAGCGGAGGAAGGAAUGGGCAACGGUAGGUCAGUAUGCCCCGAAUAUCCCGGGCUACACGCGAGCUACAAUGGUUGGUACAAUGGGUAUCUACCCCGAAAGGGGACGGGAAUCUCCUAAAACCAAUCUUAGUUCGGAUUGAGGGCUGCAACUCGCCCUCAUAAAGCUGGAAUCCGUAGUAAUCGCGUUUCAACAGAACGCGGUGAAUACGUCCCUGCUCCUU